Molecule: unclassified non-coding RNA, 344 nt
Filed under: Thalassovita taeanensis
Lineage: Bacteria; Pseudomonadati; Pseudomonadota; Alphaproteobacteria; Rhodobacterales; Roseobacteraceae
Description: Litorimicrobium taeanense Long range pseudoknot
Source: RNAcentral
ACUGAUGCCCAUGAUUACGGCGUCAAGAUGCGCUCGGUGUUCAAGUUCCUUGAAAACGGCGACAAGGUGAAGAUCACCCUGCGGUUCCGUGGUCGUGAAAUGGCCCACCUCAACCUCGGUCGCGAGCUGCUCGAGCGUGUUGCAGAAGACACCAAAGAGGUUGGCAAGGUGGAAAACUUCCCCAAGAUGGAAGGCCGCCAGAUGAUCAUGCUGAUCGGUCCGCUGCCCAAGUAAAGAUCGCGCCGAUCUGCCACAUUUUCACGCCCCCGCGUUUAUCCGAACGUGGGGGCGUUUUCAUUUCUGCUGAUCGAAGGACACCCCAUGUGGGAAGAACGCUUUGCCAC